RNAcentral lists this ribosomal RNA (308 nucleotides) under uncultured Nitrosospira sp. RNAcentral's name for it is "bacterial SSU rRNA". It matches the Rfam family "Bacterial small subunit ribosomal RNA", at positions 338 to 638 of the family's 1533-position model. Lineage: Bacteria; Pseudomonadati; Pseudomonadota; Betaproteobacteria; Nitrosomonadales; Nitrosomonadaceae. The record is from RNAcentral.
CCUACGGGAGGCAGCAGUGGGGAAUUUUGGACAAUGGGGGCAACCCUGAUCCAGCCAUGCCGCGUGAGUGAAGAAGGCCUUCGGGUUGUAAAGCUCUUUCAGCCGGGAAGAAAAUGCAUGGGUUAAUACCCUGUGCAGAUGACGGUACCGGAAUAAGAAGCACCGGCUAACUACGUGCCAGCAGCCGCGGUAAUACGUAGGGUGCGAGCGUUAAUCGGAAUUACUGGGCGUAAAGCUGGCGCAGGCGGUUUUGUAAGACAGGCGUGAAAUCCCCGGGCUUAACCUGGGAACUGCGUUUGAAACUACAA